AUCCUUCUAAAAAGCACUUGCUUCGUCUGCUCAGUGGCUGAGUGAGUUGUCGUGGAAGGAAAUAGUAAAUCCCAUUGCUCUUGGGUGAGAUGGCAGCUUUAAUUAAUGUACUGUUCAAUCUCAAUCCGUGAUGGUACACCU
Astyanax mexicanus (Mexican tetra) is the source of this 141-nucleotide small nucleolar RNA. The record is from Ensembl. NCBI's taxonomy places the organism in Eukaryota, Metazoa, Chordata, Actinopteri, Characiformes, Acestrorhamphidae.